GACGAACGCUGGCGGCGUGCCUAAUACAUGCAAGUCGAACAGUGGCGAACGGGUGAGUAACACGUGAGUAACCUGCCCUCCACUUUGGGAUAACUCCGAGAAAUCGGGGCUAAUACUGGAUAGUGGGGGAUGGGCUCGCGGCCAAUCAGUUUGUUGGUGGGGUAGUGGUCACCAAGGCGUGACGGGUAGCCGGCCUGAGAGGGCGACCGGCAACACUGGGACUGCGACACGGCCCAGAAUCCUACGGGAGGCAGCAGUGGGGAAGAUUGCACAAUGGGCGAAAGCCUGAUGCAGCGACGCCGCGUGGGGGAUGACGGCCUUCGGGUUGUAAACCUCUUUCAGCAAGGAAGCGGUACUUGCAGAAGAAGCGCCGGCUAACUACGUGCCAGCCGCCGCGGUAAUUC
RNAcentral lists this ribosomal RNA (404 nucleotides) under uncultured bacterium. RNAcentral's name for it is "partial 16S ribosomal RNA". It matches the Rfam family "Bacterial small subunit ribosomal RNA", at positions 28 to 526 of the family's 1533-position model. The record is from RNAcentral.